Long non-coding RNA from Gallus gallus (chicken), 7187 nucleotides. RefSeq lists it as uncharacterized. Lineage: Eukaryota; Metazoa; Chordata; Aves; Galliformes; Phasianidae. The record is from RefSeq and is a predicted model, not a curated record. The transcript has 3 exons.
ACUGUUGCCGGCUUUCUCCAUUGGCAUCCUGUUUUGUUCCUAGUUCUCAUACCUGACCUUGCACGUAACAAGGUUGCUUAACCAGCUGCACAGUGUCUGCAUGGCUUUUCUCAGUCAGCCAGUCAUCAGUAAAUCUCUCCACACUCCAGUGCCUGCUGGAUUUGCAGGUGCUUCUCAAUUGCAGGGAUGGGUUCCUGCCUCCUGGGUGUCCUUGCUUCUUCCCUGGGGGUGGUUUUCAGGCUGUUCAUCUGAUGGCUGGGUAGAUCCAUGCCCGGUAGCUACCCUUUCCUCCUCCUUGGCAUGACCUGGAGGGCUUUCCGUCAUCCAGAGAGAUGCUUGUUCUGGCUAGCAGCCCCAGACUGCUUUGGGGUAGGUAGCGGAGAAGUUGCAUCUCUCGUGGACGUAGCAGCAUGCCCAGUAGCUACCCUGUCCUCCUCCCGGGCAUGGAUGCUCGACUUUUGUUCUUGUCCGGUGUCAGCUGUCAUGCUGGACAGCAGGCCUGGACUCCUCCAGGCUGGCUGCCCGACCUUUCUUUUGGCGUUGGCAGCUCGGUCUGUUCCUGGUGGGUUCUCUUGCUUCCCCGUGGCCGGGAUUUCUUUUCUUUUUCUGUCCCCGGACGCAGCUGCAGUCAUGUCUUCUGUCCCGUUUUCCACACAAGAGGUAAUCCUGAAUGUGUUCUGUUGGAAUCCUUACUGCUGUUCCCAGUGGUCAGUGUUGUUUGCUAGAUGUUGUGUGGCCUUUUGUCUUUCUCUUGCAGGAUCUGAAAUGUCCGAGCGAGACUCCAGCGUAGCCCAUGUUGCCAUUUCAGCAAGAUGUUUCCCCUCCUGCCGAGGUGCUGUGGCAGCCAGGGACCGACCUGUUCCUCAGCAUGUGCUGCCUCGUGCAGGCCUUCUGGGUCAGGUGGCAAAAUCGUCAGCAGCCAGCUGUGAGUUCUCCCGGGCUGUUGCUGCCAGGCGUUUCUUUGUGUUGGGGUAGGUCCCAAUGGAUCCUCCCCGGUUGGCUUUUUCACCUGCUUUGUUUUGAAUGUGGCUUUUCAGGAGGCAGUUGUGCGUGCUAUUUCCGCGGAAUGCUUCAAGUUUUCUUUCUUUCGUUCCUCCUUGGCUGUGCUUUGCUAUGCUGCGCCAAGCUGUCCGAUGGGCCUUUUCUCUCUGUGUUGUUUUCCUUUGCUUUGUAGCCUUUUUCUUUCCUAUCUUUCUAAUUGGUUUUGCCUUGCCUUGCUUUGCUUUACUGUGUUCCUUUCCUUUCUUUGCAUUUGCAGAUGACUUUUCUCUGCUGCUCCUCUGGCUCGGCUUUUGCAUUGUUUGUUUUUCAUUGCUGUUGCUUCUUUACCGCGCGGUUCCUUUCUUUGCAUGCCUUGCAUGCCUUGCUUGGUGGAUUCCUUUUCUCUUCCUUUGAAAUGGAUUUUCUUUGCUUUCCAUGGCUUUCCUCUCCUUUUCCUUUCUUUUCACGCUCCUUUUCCCUCCCUUCCUUUCGCUUCCUUGGCGCCAUGCCCUUCCCUUUCCUUUGAGCUUGCCUUCGCUUCCCUGACGUGAUCCCUCUUGAUUGUUUCUCUCUCUUUUAUUUUCCUACGUGUUUAACCCAAGCCUCGUCUCUGCGCUUUCCUCCAGUGCCUGCUGGAUUUGCAGGUGUUUCUCAAUUGCAGGGAUGGGUUCCUGCCUCCUGGGUGUCCUUGCUUCUUCCCUGGGGGUGGUUUUCAGGCUGUUCAUCUGAUGGCUGGGUAGAUCCAUGCCCGGUAGCUACCCUUUCCUCCUCCUUGGCAUGACCUGGAGGGCUUUCCGUCAUCCAGAGAGAUGCUUGUUCUGGCUAGCAGCCCCGGACUGCUUUGGGGUAGGUAGCGGAGAAGUUGCAUCUCUCGUGGACGUAGCAGCAUGCCCAGUAGCUACCCUGUCCUCCUCCCGGGCAUGGAUGCUCGACUUUUGUUCUUGUCCGGUGUCAGCUGUCAUGCUGGACAGCAGGCCUGGACUCCUCCAGGCUGGCUGCCCGACCUUUCUUUUGGCGUUGGCAGCUCGGUCUGUUCCUGGUGGGUUCUCUUGCUUCCCCGUGGCCGGGAUUUCUUUUCUUUUUCUGUCCCCGGACGCAGCUGCAGUCAUGUCUUCUGUCCCGUUUCCCACACAAGAGGUAAUCCUGAAUGUGUUCUGUUGGAAUCCUUACUGCUGUUCCCAGUGGUCAGUGUUGUUUGCUAGAUGUUGUGUGGCCUUUUGUCUUUCUCUUGCAGGAUCUGAAAUGUCCGAGCGAGACUCCAGCGUAGCCCAUGUUGCCAUUUCAGCAAGAUGUUUCCCCUCCUGCCGAGGUGCUGUGGCAGCCAGGGACCGACCUGUUCCUCAGCAUGUGCUGCCUCGUGCAGGCCUUCUGGGUCAGGUGGCAAAGUCGUCAGCAGCCAGCUGUGAGUUCUCCCGGGCUGUUGCUGCCAGGCGUUUCUUUGUGUUGGGGUAGGUCCCAAUGGAUCCUCCCCGGUUGGCUUUUUCACCUGCUUUGUUUUGCAUUUGGCUUUUCAGGAGGCAGUUGUGCGUGCUAUUUCCGCGGAAUGCUUCAAGUUUUCUUUCUUUCGUUCCUCUUUGGCUGUGCUUUGCUAUGCUGCGCCAAGCUGUCCGAUGGGCCUUUUCUCUCUGUGUUGUUUUCCUUUGCUUUGUAGCCUUUUUCUUUCCUAUCUUUCUAAUUGGUUUUGCCUUGCCUUGCUUUGCUUUACUGUGUUCCUUUUCUUUCCUUUCUUUGCAUUUGCAGAUGACUUUUCUCUGCUGCUCCUCUGGCUCGGCUUUUGCAUUGUUUGUUUUUCAUUGCUGUUGCUUCUUUACCGCGCGGUUCCUUUCUUUGCAUGCCUUGCAUGCCUUGCUUGGUGGAUUCCUUUUCUCUUCCUUUGAAAUGGAUUUUCUUUGCUUUCCAUGGCUUUCCUCUCCUUUUCCUUUCUUUUCACGCUCCUUUUCCCUCCCUUCCUUUCGCUUCCUUGGCGCCAUGCCCUUCCCUUUCCUUUGAGCUUGCCUUCGCUUCCCUGACGUGAUCCCUCUUGAUUGUUUCUCUCUCUUUUAUUUUCCUACGUGUUUAACCCAAGCCUCGUCUCUGCGCUUUCCUCCAGUGCCUGCUGGAUUUGCAGGUGUUUCUCAAUUGCAGGGAUGGGUUCCUGCCUCCUGGGUGUCCUUGCUUCUUCCCUGGGGGUGGUUUUCAGGCUGUUCAUCUGAUGGCUGGGUAGAUCCAUGCCCGGUAGCUACCCUUUCCUCCUCCUUGGCAUGACCUGGAGGGCUUUCCGUCAUCCAGAGAGAUGCUUGUUCUGGCUAGCAGCCCCGGACUGCUUUGGGGUAGGUAGCGGAGAAGUUGCAUCUCUCGUGGACGUAGCAGCAUGCCCAGUAGCUACCCUGUCCUCCUCCCGGGCAUGGAUGCUCGACUUUUGUUCUUGUCCGGUGUCAGCUGUCAUGCUGGACAGCAGGCCUGGACUCCUCCAGGCUGGCUGCCCGACCUUUCUUUUGGCGUUGGCAGCUCGGUCUGUUCCUGGUGGGUUCUCUUGCUUCCCCGUGGCCGGGAUUUCUUUUCUUUUUCUGUCCCCGGACGCAGCUGCAGUCAUGUCUUCUGUCCCGUUUCCCACACAAGAGGUAAUCCUGAAUGUGUUCUGUUGGAAUCCUUACUGCUGUUCCCAGUGGUCAGUGUUGUUUGCUAGAUGUUGUGUGGCCUUUUGUCUUUCUCUUGCAGGAUCUGAAAUGUCCGAGCGAGACUCCAGCGUAGCCCAUGUUGCCAUUUCAGCAAGAUGUUUCCCCUCCUGCCGAGGUGCUGUGGCAGCCAGGGACCGACCUGUUCCUCAGCAUGUGCUGCCUCGUGCAGGCCUUCUGGGUCAGGUGGCAAAAUCGUCAGCAGCCAGCUGAUCUGAAAUGUCCGAGCGAGACUCCAGCGUAGCCCAUGUUGCCAUUUCAGCAAGAUGUUUCCCCUCCUGCCGAGGUGCUGUGGCAGCCAGGGACCGACCUGUUCCUCAGCAUGUGCUGCCUCGUGCAGGCCUUCUGGGUCAGGUGGCAAAAUCGUCAGCAGCCAGCUGUGAGUUCUCCCGGGCUGUUGCUGCCAGGCGUUUCUUUGUGUUGGGGUAGGUCCCAAUGGAUCCUCCCCGGUUGGCUUUUUCACCUGCUUUGUUUUGCAUUUGGCUUUUCAGGAGGCAGUUGUGCGUGCUAUUUCCGCGGAAUGCUUCAAGUUUUCUUUCUUUCAUUCCUCCUUGGCUGUGCUUUGCUAUGCUGCGCCAAGCUGUCCGAUGGGCCUUUUCUCUCUGUGUUGUUUUCCUUUGCUUUGUAGCCUUUUUCUUUCCUAUCUUUCUAAUUGGUUUUGCCUUGCCUUGCUUUGCUUUACUGUGUUCCUUUCCUUUCUUUGCAUUUGCAGAUGACUUUUCUCUGCUGCUCCUCUGGCUCGGCUUUUGCAUUGUUUGUUUUUCAUUGCUGUUGCUUCUUUACCGCGCGGUUCCUUUCUUUGCAUGCCUUGCAUGCCUUGCUUGGUGGAUUCCUUUUCUCUUCCUUUGAAAUGGAUUUUCUUUGCUUUCCAUGGCUUUCCUCUCCUUUUCCUUUCUUUUCACGCUCCUUUUCCCUCCCUUCCUUUCGCUUCCUUGGCGCCAUGCCCUUCCCUUUCCUUUGAGCUUGCCUUCGCUUCCCUGACGUGAUCCCUCUUGAUUGUUUCUCUCUCUUUUAUUUUCCUACGUGUUUAACCCAAGCCUCGUCUCUGCGCUUUCCUCCAGUGCCUGCUGGAUUUGCAGGUGUUUCUCAAUUGCAGGGAUGGGUUCCUGCCUCCUGGGUGUCCUUGCUUCUUCCCUGGGGGUGGUUUUCAGGCUGUUCAUCUGAUGGCUGGGUAGAUCCAUGCCCGGUAGCUACCCUUUCCUCCUCCUUGGCAUGACCUGGAGGGCUUUCCAUCAUCCAGAGAGAUGCUUGUUCUGGCUAGCAGCCCCGGACUGCUUUGGGGUAGGUAGCGGAGAAGUUGCAUCUCUCGUGGACGUAGCAGCAUGCCCAGUAGCUACCCUGUCCUCCUCCCGGGCAUGGAUGCUCGACUUUUGUUCUUGUCCGGUGUUUGCUGUCAUGCUGGACAGCAGGCCUGGACUCCUCCAGGCUGGCUGCCCGACCUUUCUUUUGGCGUUGGCAGCUCGGUCUGUUCCUGGUGGGUUCUCUUGCUUCCCCGUGGCCGGGAUUUCUUUUCUUUUUCUGUCCCCGGACGCAGCUGCAGUCAUGUCUUCUGUCCCGUUUCCCACACAAGAGGUAAUCCUGAAUGUGUUCUGUUGGAAUCCUUACUGCUGUUCCCAGUGGUCAGUGUUGUUUGCUAGAUGUUGUGUGGCCUUUUGUCUUUCUCUUGCAGGAUCUGAAAUGUCCGAGCGAGACUCCAGCGUAGCCCAUGUUGCCAUUUCAGCAAGAUGUUUCCCCUCCUGCCGAGGUGCUGUGGCAGCCAGGGACCGACCUGUUCCUCAGCAUGUGCUGCCUCGUGCAGGCCUUCUGGGUCAGGUGGCAAAGUCGUCAGCAGCCAGCUGUGAGUUCUCCCGGGCUGUUGCUGCCAGGCGUUUCUUUGUGUUGGGGUAGGUCCCAAUGGAUCCUCCCCGGUUGGCUUUUUCACCUGCUUUGUUUUGAAUGUGGCUUUUCAGGAGGCAGUUGUGCGUGCUAUUUCCGCGGAAUGCUUCAAGUUUUCUUUCUUUCAUUCCUCUUUGGCUGUGCUUUGCUAUGCUGCGCCAAGCUGUCCGAUGGGCCUUUUCUCUCUGUGUUGUUUUCCUUUGCUUUGUAGCCUUUUUCUUUCCUAUCUUUCUAAUUGGUUUUGCCUUGCCUUGCUUUGCUUUACUGUGUUCCUUUCCUUUCUUUGCAUUUGCAGAUGACUUUUCUCUGCUGCUCCUCUGGCUCGGCUUUUGCAUUGUUUGUUUUUCAUUGCUGUUGCUUCUUUACCGCGCGGUUCCUUUCUUUGCAUGCCUUGCAUGCCUUGCUUGGUGGAUUCCUUUUCUCUUCCUUUGAAAUGGAUUUUCUUUGCUUUCCAUGGCUUUCCUCUCCUUUUCCUUUCUUUUCACGCUCCUUUUCCCUCCCUUCCUUUCGCUUCCUUGGCGCCAUGCCCUUCCCUUUCCUUUGAGCUUGCCUUCGCUUCCCUGACGUGAUCCCUCUUGAUUGUUUCUCUCUCUUUUAUUUUCCUACGUGUUUAACCCAAGCCUCGUCUCUGCGCUUUCCUCCAGUGCCUGCUGGAUUUGCAGGUGUUUCUCAAUUGCAGGGAUGGGUUCCUGCCUCCUGGGUGUCCUUGCUUCUUCCCUGGGGGUGGUCUUCAGGCUGUUCAUCUGAUGGCUGGGUAGAUCCAUGCCCGGUAGCUACCCUUUCCUCCUCCUUGGCAUGACCUGGAGGGCUUUCCGUCAUCCAGAGAGAUGCUUGUUCUGGCUAGCAGCCCCGGACUGCUUUGGGCUCGGUCUGUUCCUGGUGGGUUCUCUUGCUUCCCCGUGGCCGGGAUUUCUUUUCUUUUUCUGUCCCCGGACGCAGCUGCAGUCAUGUCUUCUGUCCCGUUUCCCACACAAGAGGUAAUCCUGAAUGUGUUCUGUUGGAAUCCUUACUGCUGUUCCCAGUGGUCAGUGUUGUUUGCUAGAUGUUGUGUGGCCUUUUGUCUUUCUCUUGCAGGAUCUGAAAUGUCCGAGCGAGACUCCAGCGUAGCCCAUGUUGCCAUUUCAGCAAGAUGUUUCCCCUCCUGCCGAGGUGCUGUGGCAGCCAGGGACCGACCUGUUCCUCAGCAUGUGCUGCCUCGUGCAGGCCUUCUGGGUCAGGUGGCAAAAUCGUCAGCAGCCAGCUGUGAGUUCUCCCGGGCUGUUGCUGCCAGGCGUUUCUUUGUGUUGGGGUAGGUCCCAAUGGAUCCUCCCCGGUUGGCUUUUUCACCUGCUUUGUUUUGCAUUUGGCUUUUCAGGAGGCAGUUGUGCGUGCUAUUUCCGCGGAAUGCUUCAAGUUUUCUUUCUUUCAUUCCUCCUUGGCUGUGCUUUGCUAUGCUGCGCCAAGCUGUCCGAUGGGCCUUUUCUCUCUGUGUUGUUUUCCUUUGCUUUGUAGCCUUUUUCUUUCCUAUCUUUCUAAUUGGUUUUGCCUUGCCUUGCUUUGCUUUGCUGUGUUCCUUUUCUUUCCUUUCUUUGCAUUUGCAGAUUACUUUUCUCUGCUGCUCCUCUGGCUCGGCUUUUGCAUUGUUUGUUCUUCAUUGCUGUUGCUUCUUUACUGCGCGGUUCCUUUCUUUGCAUGCCU